UAUAGAUUGGAAUAAGUUUUGAUCUAUAGCCAUCUCUUGCUGAAUAAAGCCUUACCACACUCCACCAGAAGUGAGACUGCUUUCUCGGUUCCACACGUGUUCUGAACUGGCAUCUACUGAGCUGGAUGUUAUGAAAUACUCGCUACAGAUGACAUCAAAAUAUUAAAUCCAAGUAUAGUCGGUUCCUUUUUUAUAAUACUAAAAUUGCAGAAAUAACAUUCUUUAAUCGCUUUUUUUUUUGUCUUAUAGAAGGCAAAUUUCCCCUUAUCUGUAAGGGGAAGAACAUUAUUAUUUGUAAACCUUUAUCAAAACAGAAGCAGCAUAUCCAGCAAUUUCUCAAUGUUGUAAUCGGUGGUACUGCAGCACGUGCCAUUCGGAGGUCAAAUUCUGUACAAGUAAGGAUUAAAUAAAUCAAUCGCCUACGAAACAGCCAGCAUAUGAAAGCUUUUUGCAAGUCGUCGUUCUCAAAAUGAAACUUUUGUCCUGCCAAGAACUUUCUACUGUAUUGAAAUAAGACAUGUUUCCAGAUUGAAUAACUUGGGACCUAUACAAGUGCAUCUUACUGAAUGAAGACUUUUCGUCCACCACAAGGACAACUGUUUUCUUGGUUCUGCGUACCUCGGCAAUUUACACUAAGGAUGUUGAAUGUGCGUAAUUAUCUGUCAAUGACAUCAAAACAUCAGGAAUUCAAGGGCAUGGUGUCUUUUAAAAUGUUUAGACCGAAGUGAUUGCAACAAAACUGGACGAUUCUGAAGUUUCAUCAAGCGUAACCUUGGAACCCGAAGUCUUUACAAAUUAUGGACAAAGAUUCAAAAGGUGCUAUGAUAUCGUAAACUUGUGAUUUAUACCAAGUUUAAAAUGUAUCGAUUAAAAUGAUAAAAAUUGGAUUAUCAAAAUCUGCACAUUAGAAAUGAUAUUUAAUAUAAUCAACAUUUUUGGCUGCUAAUAUAUUUUUGAAAUGAUUGCUUCCAUUGUAACUCCAAAUGAUGGAUAACAUUAUUUAGAACUCUUCUGAAAAAUGCAGAAAUUCGUUUACAAAUGUUUGAUGUUCAACGAAGUAUCUUUCGUGCAUCGCAGUUAUGCAUUCAAAAUAAAUGUUUGGCUCAUCAAUUAAUUUUUUAUCGAGAAAUUGUUCAGAAUUUUUUAUUCGGUUAUCAAUUCUGCCUGUAAACUCUGAGUUAAAAAUUCAUUCGAUGUGCAUGUGAGUCUUCUUAUAUGUGAAAUGGUUUAAAGUCCUACGUAUUGGUUCCCAUUAAUCGAACAAAUCUAUAUUAUAUUAACAUUCUAUAUUUUACUAGUGCCGUAUACUUACUGCUGACUUAAUGAAUAUCUAUCUUUAUGUAUCCAAACGGCCAAUUUUAUGAUAUGCUAUUACAUGAGCAAUUUAACAUUUCAAUCGAAGUGUAUUUCAAUUUAACAGUGUCUGAUUUGAAAUCAGCUCCCUUAGGUUAACUAUAAACUUAAUUUGUUGAAAUUUAGAGAAAAUAUAUUUGAUCUUGUAUUCACUUUUUGGUAAUUUUUUAAUAUCAAAUCAUAGAAACUAAAGAUGCAAUAAAACUAGAUUCGUGCAUCCAAAUAUCGCUUUCACAUUUAGAAAUCGUAUUUAGACUUGAUACAAAUUAAACGUAAUCCACCUUUUCAGAAUGCACCUUUAUUGUAACCAACGAAGCUAUCAAAGUGCAUGACCCGGUUUUGACAGCUGUCAGUAUUUGUCCCGAUUAUGGGAAUGUUUUAAAUUUAUAAAUUGGUGAGUUAAGCAGAAUGUUGGAAGUUUUUGCAUGGAAUCUACAAAAUUAUGGCUGUUGAAUAAAUCGCAAAUCCUGCAUUACUAUUAGCCUGCUUUAACUCGAUAUCUCAUCAAAACUAGGAAUAUCGACCCUUGGUUUUUGAACAUUUUAUGUAAUCGAUUUGGGCAUAAAAUGUUCAUAGAAAUAUUUUUCGAACUUGGGCUGUAGGAUGCAUUUUAUCCUCAGAUUGAGAGGUGCAUUAUGUGAAUGGGAAAUAUUGCAUUGAUAUAUAUUGACAUGCGAUGGAUGGAGUUAAAUCAAUAUACUUAAGAGAUAGUUGUAUGUGAAACAGAAACCGUGCGAGAUCAUAGUAGGCAAGUACAAUGCUAGUCCCGACUCUAUUGUAAUGUGGUGCGAAAGCGCUGUGGAUUAAUUGCUCAUACUCAAAAGUUGUGGUGUGGGCCUGGUAGCAAAAAUGUCUGAUAAUCGCUUAUCGCGUAAUUGGAUAUUGUAUGCAAUUAUGAGUGAGAAAUGCAUGUGAAAGCCGAGGACUGGUUGUGUGGGGGUGCCGGCGUGAGAAAUGUGAAAUCGUGUUAGGUUUGGUGGCUUAGGUAAUGAAUGCGAGGAUUCUGAGCUUUUUGUUGGGUGUG
Molecule: long non-coding RNA, 2377 nt
Organism: Argiope bruennichi
Lineage: Eukaryota; Metazoa; Arthropoda; Arachnida; Araneae; Araneidae
Exons: 3
Source: RefSeq, a predicted model, not a curated record